RNAcentral lists this ribosomal RNA (733 nucleotides) under Sceloporus gadsdeni (Lagoon spiny lizard). RNAcentral's name for it is "partial 12S ribosomal RNA". It matches the Rfam family "Bacterial small subunit ribosomal RNA", at positions 9 to 1243 of the family's 1533-position model. Lineage: Eukaryota; Metazoa; Chordata; Lepidosauria; Squamata; Phrynosomatidae. The record is from RNAcentral.
AGUUUUGGUCCUAAACUUACUGCUACUUUUAAUCAAAUUUACACAUGCAAGCAUCCACACACCAGUGAAAUACGCCCUAACACAGUAUAAAUGGAGCAGGUAUCAGGCACAACCGCCAGCCAAAAACACCAAGCUUUGCCACACCCACACGGGCCCUCAGCAGUGAUAAACAUUAAGCAAUAAGCGAACACACCAAACUAAAGCUUGACUUAGUUAUGAUUAACAGGGCCGGUAAACCUCGUGCCAGCCACCGCGGUUACACGGCGGGCCCAAAGCAGCAGACUCUCGGCGUAAAUAGUGGCCAGAAUAAUUACCCCCACAUUAAAAACUAAACCAUGCCCUAACCGUAAAACACAGGCUAAAUGAAAUCAAGCACUUUUAAUAACAGGUAAUUUGACCCACGAAAACUAAGAAACAAACUAGGAUUAGAUACCCUACUAUGCUUAGUCGUUAAUAUGAUAUUAUAGUACUAAAAUAUCCGCCAGAAAACUACGAGCGAAAAGCUUAAAACUCAAAGGACUUGGCGGUGCUCCAUACCGACUUAGAGGAGCCUGUCCUAUAAUCGAUACCCCACGCUAAACCCCACCAAUCUUUGCCAUACCAGCCUAUAUACCGCCGUCGUCAACCCACCUCAUGAGAGAAAAACAGUGAGUACAAAAGUUCAAUAACUAAAACGUCAGGUCAAGGUGUAGCUAAUAGAAUGGAAGAGAUGGGCUACAUUUUUUAAAGUAAA